This is an RNA transcript of Melospiza melodia melodia, 3171 nucleotides long. It is a transcript of the gene named tryptophanyl tRNA synthetase 2, mitochondrial, with no coding region annotated. NCBI's taxonomy places the organism in Eukaryota, Metazoa, Chordata, Aves, Passeriformes, Passerellidae. The record is from RefSeq and is a predicted model, not a curated record. The transcript has 8 exons.
CAUGCGCGGACCCUGCCCGGCUCCUGCCCCGUGUCCCUCCCCCCCGCCUCUUCCUUCCCGCCUUUGCCAUGGCGACACCGAGUGGCCUGAUCCGGGCCCUACACCGCGGGACCCUCGGCCAGAACAUGGUCAUGGAUCGGAUUUUCUCUGGUAUCCAGCCGACUGGGACCCCUCAUCUGGGUAACUACCUUGGAGCCAUUCAGAACUGGGUGAAUCUGCAGGAAGAGUGCAGCUCAGUGCUCUAUAGCAUUAUGGACAUGCACUCUUUCACCAUGCCCAAGGAGCCAGCUGUCCUGCGCCAGAACAUCCUGGACACCACUGCUGCCAUCCUUGCCUGUGGGAUUGACCCCAACAAGUGUCUCCUCUUCCGGCAGUCACUGGUUCCUGAGCAUGCAGAACUUGCCUGGAUUCUUGGGUGCUUAACUAAUGUGCCACGUCUGCUACGUUUGCCCCAGUGGAAGAUGAAGCGUGCCAGCCAGAAUAGCGAAGGAACUGUUGGUUUGUUGACUUACCCUGUGCUUCAAGCAGCAGAUAUUUUACUGUACAAGUCAACACGUGUUCCUGUUGGAGAAGAUCAAGUCCUGCACCUGGAACUAGCCCAAGAUAUAGCACAACAUUUCAACAAGAAAUAUGGAGAAUUCUUUCCUGUGCCCAAAGCCAUUUUAAGUACAACAAAGAGAAUAAAAUCCCUCAGAGAUCCAUCAGCCAAGAUGUCCAAGUCAGACCCGCAGAAGUUAGCCACCGUUACCAUAGCAGACAGCCCAGAUGAAAUAGUGCUGAAGUUCCGCAAGGCUGUGACUGACUUCACCUCGGAGGUGACCUACGAGCCCGCCGCCCGCCCCGGUGUCUCCAACCUGGUGUCCAUCCACGCCGCAGUGACGGGGCUGAGCAUCAAAGACGUGCUGCACCAAGCCACUGGUCUCGACACUGCUCACUACAAAAUGGUGGUGGCAGAGGCCGUUAUCCAAAAAUUUGCACCUAUCAGGAGUGAAAUCAAGAAACUCCAGGAAGACAAGUCUCAUCUGAUAAAGGUUUUAGAGGAUGGAGCAGAGAAAGCCAAAGAACUGGCUGCUCCUAUCUAUCAAGAGAUAAGGAGAUUGGUGGGAUUUCAAUAGAAGCUGCUGAGUAGUUGCAAGGACUUUUGUAUCAUGGGACAGAGAUUUUGUUAUUUAUAACAAAAUCAUUUAUUAAUUAUUAAUCAUUUUUGUUUAAAACAAAAACUUUUUCUCCUGGAUGACCCAAGGAGAAUGUUGAAGGUGAUUGCAUUAAAAAAUGUGCAUGAAGCCAGGUAUUUCCUGUGGGACCAGCAUUAAGCUUGUCUGGCUAGGCAAAGAGGGAGGACAGAAGCAAUCACAAUUCACAAAGAAAUUGUGCAAAAGCAGAUUAUAAGGUUGCCUGUGUGGGUUUUUGGAUUUUUCCACUGACCACUGCAAGAAGCUGAAGUGUAGGGAUCUGAAGAAGAGAACUGCCAUGCAAGAGCUUGAUGAUGACAGAUUUUCUAAAAUUAGUCAAGACUAGAGAAGCAGAGUGGAUGGAGACAGACUGAUUGGAACCAAACUCAGUGUAGACAAGCCUAAGGUAAAUUCGACAGUAGCUGCAAGAAGAAUGUCAAUGUAUUGUGUAGUCAAAAGCCUUGAAAGGACCCAUACAUCUCUCAUCUUUUCUAAAGUCUCUUACAUAGUGGGGCUUUACUGUUAGCAUCAGCCAGUUUUGCGAAAAAUGCUGCAGCAAAACUGUAGUCAUAUGUGACAUUAAUUUAUGUGCUUAAAGCUUUGGUGUUUUGGUUUGGAUUUUUUUUUUUUGCUCACUCAGCUGUGACAGAAGACUUACUAAAUAUUGAAUUCCCAAUGAAGCUUUUUAUCACACAGUUCUGUCCAGAUGACAGCUGAAGUAAUGGAAAAUUCUCUUUAAUAUCACAAAAGAUUCUGCUCUGAUUCUGUCUUUUCUGUUGUUCUGUUGGUUGUGCUAAUGGUCAUAUUGUGGAAAGUUUGACAUGUAAGUAUUUAUUGUGUGUCAAUAAGAAAUAAUUUUACCUGCAACAGUCCCAUAUUGUUAUGAAAAUGGAAGAUUCACUGAUCAUUUCACUUGUAGGCAGCUGCCUCGGUGUCACAAUUAUUUUAUAUAAAACCAAAUGCCAACCUCCUGCACAGGUGAAGUAAAUAGUUUAACACCUGGGAAGAUGUUCUGCCACUGUUGUAAAUUCCUGUCACAGAACACCAUGACUGAAGAUGAGAUUAUCCACUGCAGGAGUGGGCUCGUGCUGCCUGUGGACAUAAAAUUAAGCACUGAGCUUAACGUCUGUUGUGCUGUCAUGCUCUCAGCAUUCCAGCAUGGCUGUGAGAUGGGAGCAGAGCAAAUCUGUGCCACACCAGAAGGCUCAAUCAGUUCCAGAUGUGCUGCAUUUGCUGUAUGUGCAAGAUGAAAUGUCAAGACAAGAGCUGCAGAACAAAAAUCCUUAAAAGUUAUUAAAUGUUUGGAAGUAACAGCAUGCUUGUAAAGCUUGGCUUAUAAAGCCUGUGAUAGCAUGGUCUUAGCCUCACUCAUAGAGCUGACAGGAGCAGUCACACAGCUGAGUGUGAUGGUGGCAUAAGGUAAGCCAUCUGCUUCCUCAGUACAAUAGUGUAAAGACAGUGUGAGUCUAAUUUGAGGGGUUACUGGAUUAACCCUCACAGGUGGGAAAUAAUAGCUUAUGGCAGAGCAAGGUAGUACCACAUCUCUCUUGUGUCCUGAACCAUUCUGAAACCAGAUGCUCACAGCUCAGGUGGGGACGCAGAGCAUGGAGAAGAUGUUGUAUGGACAGUGUCACUUGUCCCAUGUGCUGUUGUAUCUAUGACUCUGCAAUUCCUCCAGUUUCAGUUUGGCGUGACUUUAUUGUCAUCCACCAAUGUGAAAUGAUGUUCACAUGCUGAUAAAAUCAAUGGAACUCUGGUUUAAACACUGGAUGUAUGUUCUCUACUAUCUUUGGUGAAAAGUUCUUUCCUGAUGCCCCAGGAUUUAUAGAAAGAAAUCAUUAAGGCAGAUAAGAAGAAACUUACCAAAACAAGGCUACUUUCUGGCAUUAUCCAGAGUUUCUGGUGUAGGUGGUUUCUGGCUUCAUUCACCCUGUUUACCUUCAUGCUUCAUCCCCUAAGCCACAUCUUUCUCUGAGUAAAGUAAAACCUGUAUGUUCAA